RNAcentral lists this ribosomal RNA (421 nucleotides) under uncultured bacterium. Its description in RNAcentral is "bacterial SSU rRNA". It matches the Rfam family "Bacterial small subunit ribosomal RNA", at positions 29 to 494 of the family's 1533-position model. The record is from RNAcentral.
AACGAACGCUGGCGGCAUGCCUAACACAUGCAAGUCGAACGCGUGUAGCAAUACACGAGUGGCGGACGGGUGAGUAACGCGUGGGAACCUGCCCAAUGGUAGGGAAUAACUGCGGGAAACUGCAGCUAAUACCCUAUGCUCCCUACGGGGGAAAGAUUUAUCGCCAUUGGAGGGGCCCGCGUCGGAUUAGCUAGUUGGCGGGGUAACGGCCCACCAAGGCUACGAUCCGUAGCUGGUCUGAGAGGAUGAUCAGCCACACUGGGACUGAGAUACGGCCCAGACUCCUACGGGAGGCAGCAGUGGGGAAUAUUGGACAAUGGGGGAAACCCUGAUCCAGCAAUGCCGCGUGAGUGAAGAAGGCCUUAGGGUUGUAAAGCUCUUUCGGCGGGACGAUGGUGACGGUACCCGCAGAAGAAGCCCC